GACGAGCGCUGGCGGCGUGCUUAACACAUGCAAGUCGAACGAAAAGGCCCUGCUUGCUGGGGGUGUUAGAGUCGAACGGGUGUGUAACACACGAGUAUAACCUGCUUGACACUUUGAUAUGCCUGCGGAACUGUGGCUCAUACUGGGUAUAACAUCUCCUGCUGCGUGGUGGGGGUGGGAGAUUUUGUGGUGUUGGAUGGACUCGCGGCUUAUCAGCUUGUUGGUGGGGUAUUGGCUCACCAAGGCGACGACGGGUAGCCGGCCUGAGAGGGUGACCGGCCACACUGGGACUGAGAUACGGCCCAGACUCCUACGGGAGGCAGCAGUGGGGAAUAUUGCACAAUGGGCGGAAGCCUGAUGCAGCGACGCCGCGUGCGGGAUGACGGCCUUCGGGUUGUAAACCGCUUUCGGUAGGGAAGAAGCGUGAGUGACGGUAACUGCAAAAGAAGCACCGGCUAACUACGUG
RNAcentral lists this ribosomal RNA (466 nucleotides) under uncultured bacterium. RNAcentral's name for it is "partial 16S ribosomal RNA". It matches the Rfam family "Bacterial small subunit ribosomal RNA", at positions 28 to 507 of the family's 1533-position model. The record is from RNAcentral.